UGAGAGGUUGUGUGCUCACGGGGUUU
RNAcentral lists this non-coding RNA (26 nucleotides) under Rattus norvegicus (Norway rat). Lineage: Eukaryota; Metazoa; Chordata; Mammalia; Rodentia; Muridae. The record is from RNAcentral.